UGCCAGCCGCCGCGGUAAUACGGAGGGGGUUAGCGUUAUCCGGAUUUAUUGGGCGUAAAGCGCGUCUAGGCGGAAAAGAAAGUCUGAUGUGAAAAUGCGGGGCUCAACUCCGUAUUGCGUUGGAAACUGCUUUUCUAGAGUACUGGAGAGGUGGGCGGAACUACAAGUGUAGAGGUGAAAUUCGUAGAUAUUUGUAGGAAUGCCGAUGGAGAAGUCAGCUCACUGGACAGAUACUGACGCUGAAGCGCGAAAGCGUGGGGAGCAAACAGGAUUAGAUA
Molecule: ribosomal RNA, 278 nt
Filed under: uncultured bacterium
Lineage: Bacteria
Description: partial 16S ribosomal RNA
Rfam family: Bacterial small subunit ribosomal RNA
Source: RNAcentral